Molecule: long non-coding RNA, 3059 nt
Filed under: Canis lupus familiaris (dog)
Lineage: Eukaryota; Metazoa; Chordata; Mammalia; Carnivora; Canidae
Description: lncRNA (ENSCAFG00845023551.1)
Source: RNAcentral
GCCUUGAGAACUCUGGUCUAUGAUUUUUCAGUGCAUUUCACACAAAAUCAUCUAGGCAAAUUCAGAUGUGUCCUGACCAUUCACUUGUUUCUGCACACGAAAGCUGAUCAAAUAUCUGGUUUUCCUUUAAUUUUGCAAAUGAAAAUGUUCUAAUUUAUUAGUAUGGAAGGAAACAAAGAAGGAGUCCAUGGAAUGUUUUUUAUAUCACCUUGAAGAAAUUGUCAUACACCAUCUGCUGGUUUAUUGAGCAUACAAAAUGGCAAUGUUGAUGAAUUCUUCCUUAGUAAAUGAUACAUAUUGACAUAACCACCAGCCAUAUCCUAAUGACCAGCAGCAUGCCAAGGUGCUUUGAAAUACAUCCAGCUUAAAUUAUCCAUAGGUCUUUUGUAUUUGUGAAGUGACUAAUACUCUAAAUAAUCUAUUUUGGUUAGUGCUGUGCUUCAUUUAUCCAUGCUAGUAAAUGUGUCUUUCAAAGCUCACAAAUGAGAUGCUUAACAGUCUGCCCCAUCUUCAUUGUCCUUGUGGGUUGUCAUCUGAGAAUUUUCACCCUGUUAAGAAGGUACAGGCUGAAAAAAGGUCAGUCUAGUUGAAUGUCAAAAAUAAUUUAGAAUCUAUUCUAUUUUAUUCUUCGGAUUUACUAACAUGAACGUGGGAAGAAAUUACAACUAUAGCCUAGAAAUGAUAAUUAUUCCAUAAGUCACUAAAGAUCCAAGUUUAGUAAAGAUCAGUGACUCCCAAACAAGGAGGAAAUUCAAAACAAUUUCUUAAACAGAAGAAGUUGGGAAUCUAAAUAUGGAUGAUGAGGAGAGAGAGAGAGAGAGAGGGGGAGAGAGGUUGCUGAUGCAAUUAAUAAAUAAUUUUUUAAAUUGAGCAAGGAAGCUUUUAUGAAUCACGGAAUAAAUCAUGGAAUUACGGAAUCAUGGGGAAAAAUCAUGGAAUGCAUCAGAAUCUCAAUUCUACAACUUAGUUUAUGGAGAUGUAGGCUGAAAGACUUAAAAGAAAAUAAAAACAUUCUGUCGAUCAUUGGAUGCCUAGCAUCUUAGUAUUACUUCAUAAUUGGAGAUAUUAGAGAGGGUUCUGUUCAAGAAUUAAAAUCACCAUAAGUACUUCCAGCAGGAAAAAAAUCAAAGCAAAGAAUUUUAUAAAAUUCUUGAAAGAACUGGAGGUGUGGGUUGAUCUGAGCCUCUAGACCUGACUUCUGUCAGAAUCAGAGAGUCAGAGAAUUAGGAAUCACUGAUGAAACUACUGAAUUAAACAAACAAACAAACAAAAAAAGCCACCACUGCUGUGUUCAAGAUAAAAAAAGUCACUGCCAGAGCAAUGCCACAGCUCCCAAAAAACUGGCUCUGGAACACUGGCCCCCAGGGGACCAGCUGCCUCCUUCAGGGCAAUUCCCUCCUGACACCAUUAAUUCUGCUUCUCAAGUGGGCCUGCCAGCAGAACACAGCAUAAAUCAAGCAGGCAAUGUCUCCAGCUCACUUCCACCUUCCUGGGGUCUGCCAACUAUGUGGGGGGAGCUUAUUUAAAAUACACAAUCAUGGAUGCCAGAAAACCUGGGUGGUCUUUCAGUCCUUGCCAUGCAAAAAGCCCCAUUGGAAAGAAACGAGGAUGGAUACCAAUUUUACACCAAUUACCAGAUUCAGUAUAUCUACAAAGUGUUUCCAUGGUCAGAGUGAUAUGCACUCCUCAUAAAAACCUAUUGAUAUAGAAAGUGCUAUAAACAUUUAAGGGGGAGGUGAUGUACCAUGUGAAAUUGUUCCAUCUCUAAAUUACAGAUGGAAUAAGGUGGUGGGAGAAGUAACUUCAUACCUCAGACUUGCUUUUGAACUCCUCCCCAUUGAUGCCACACUCCCUCUACUGGGGUUUGCUGAGUCCGAAAGCCAUUAUCUGUAUCUUGAUUGCCUAACAUCCAUAAAAGAAAGAUGUAUUUAGUUAAAACUUAAAGGAGAAAGAUCAUCUGGUGAAAAAUAAUAUAUACCUCUAUAAUAAAUAGGAAGAAAUGAUGUUCUGAAAUUGGGUAAGAGAGUACCCAUAUUGAAUCAAAGAAAUGAACUGCCCCAAAUUGGCUAUCCAAAGAAAUAGUUGUAUACCAAAAAUCCUGACAUAUGGGGGAAUGUUCACUUAAUAGUAGUUUUAAAUGGCAGAGGUAGGUUAUAAAACACUGUACAAUAUUUAGAAAAGAAAAGUUUAUGAAAACUAUAUCAAAAUUAAAUAGCUCUCUAUGGAUAAUGGUAAUUUGAGUGUCUUUAUUUCUUUGAGAUUCUUCCUCCUUUUCAUUAUUAAAUAAAAACAAAACCCUAUACAUUUGAAACAUUGAAAUUUAUCUUAUAUACUUAGACAUGGAUGACUUUAUUUUUUGUUCCAAUAAACUAGAGCUAGGAUAACACAUUUUUCCUUCUGGGACCUUGAAAAAUGACACACACACACACACUCACAUUCAUACACACCCACUCACUCAUAUAAACAGCUCUGGUUCAGAUAAUGUGAUUUUUUUAAAAGCAUGUCAACUUGGUUGUGAAUUAUUAUACCACUAAGAUAUAAUUAGCCAAUCAUUUAUUUCCUUCAUGAGUUUACUGAAAACUAAUAAUGGCAUUUCUCGAAUGACCUUUCAGAUGUCACCUCUGAACCAUAGCAUACUAUGCUCUGCAUCACGUUAUUGAUACCCUAGUACUGAACUGAACUUCAAUUUGAGGAGGUAAAACAUGUUGAAGAAAUAAGCAAAUACUGUACAUAAAGGUAAACCUAAUAUCCAUGGAUAAUUUAUAGCUUCCUACGUCAAAUGUUGAUGGAAAGCACUUGAGAGUGUGGAUUAAGCCGAGAUGAAAUUUCAAGGGGAUAGAAUAGGGAUUAGCUGCUACUGUUUUGGAAUCUCAGGCCUACAGAAUGCUAGAUUGCUCCACUCAAUAUUCUAGCUCAACAGAUUUCAUAGUUAUUAGUUCCACUCACCCCAAUAGCCUCUGUCAUCUCUGUAGCAUCUCCAUGUCUGUUCUCCAUCUGUUCACUUUUUCUCCCCAAAAUAUAUUCUGAUCUCUUUCAGGAAUAAUUCUUGUGUUCUCCCA